UAAAUUUGAUUCUAGUUUGAGAAGUGUUAAAAAGAUAUUAUUUAAUUUUAAUUUAUUUUAUAGACAAUAAAUUUUAAUCUUGAUAUUUUAUAAUUUGUAUAAUUUUUGUUCCAGAAUAAUCGGCUAAACUUUAAAAAUUUUAACUUUAUUUAAUUUUUAUUUUAAAAAAAAGGAAAAAAUGUUUAUAAUAUUUUAUUUAUUUAUAGUGAAAUAAAAAUAAUUUUUUAAAGUUUUUAAAAUAAUAAAUUUAAAGAAAUGAAUUAGAUUAGUCCCUAAGUAAUUUAAAUUUAAAAUCUCAGUAGUAAAGUAGAAUUUAAACUGAAAGAAUUUUGGCAGGAAACUAAUUUUUUUUUGGAGGUUGAGUUUUAAUUUGAGAGUCCUCAUUUUUAGCUUUAAUUUUUAGUUUAUGUAUGAUUAUUUAUUUAAAUUUUAAAAAUUUAAAAUUAAAAUUAAUUAUUAUUAUUUUUUUUUUAUUUUUAAAAAUAAAUAAAUACUUAAUUUAUGUUAAAGUAUCAUUUGACCUACAAUUUUUUUUAAAUAGUUAUAAUUUAAUAAAUUUAAAUAUAUAAAUUGGAAAAAAAAGUAAAAUAAUUUUAAUACUUAUUUGAAUUUUUUUUAGUUUCGGUACAAAUUAUCCAUCAAUUGCCUAAAGGGGAGUAAGUUGUAGUAAAGUAAAAGUAAAGGAAUUUGUUUUUAGAAU
This 700-nucleotide non-coding RNA is filed under the name Bursaphelenchus xylophilus (pine wood nematode). Lineage: Eukaryota; Metazoa; Nematoda; Chromadorea; Rhabditida; Aphelenchoididae. The record is from RNAcentral.